UAAUACGUAGGAGGCGAGCGUUAUCCGGAUUUACUGGGCGUAAAGAGGACGCAGGCGGCUUUUCAAGUCGGAUGUAAAAUCUCCCGGCUCAACUGGGAGGGACCAUCCGAUACUGUUGGGCUAGAGGGCAGCAGAGGGAGGUGGAAUUCCCGGUGUAGUGGUGAAAUGCGUAGAUAUCGGGAGGAACACCAGUGGCGAAGGCGGCCUCCUGGGCUGUCUCUGACGCUGAGGUCCGAAAGCGUGGGGAGCAAACAGGAUUAGAUACCCUGGUAGUCCACGCCCUAAACGAUGGACACUAGGUAUGGGGAGUAUCGACCCUCUCCGUGCCGAAGCUAACGCUUUAAGUGUCCCGCCUGGGAACUGCGGCCGCAAGGCUA
Molecule: ribosomal RNA, 377 nt
Filed under: uncultured Chloroflexota bacterium
Lineage: Bacteria; Bacillati; Chloroflexota
Description: bacterial SSU rRNA
Rfam family: Bacterial small subunit ribosomal RNA
Source: RNAcentral